UACGGAGGGUGCGAGCGUUGUCCGGAAUUACUGGGCGUAAAGCGUGCGCAGGCGGUUUUGUAAGCCAGAUGUGAAAUCCCCGGGCUUAACCUGGGAAUGGCAUUUGGGACUGCAAGGCUUGAGUGCGGCAGGGGAGACUGGAAUUCCUGGUGUAGCGGUGAAAUGCGCAGAUAUCAGGAGGAACACCGGUGGCGAAGGCGGGUCUCUGGGCCGAAACUGACGCUGAGGAGCGAAAGCGUGGGGAGCGAACAGG
This 253-nucleotide ribosomal RNA is filed under the name uncultured bacterium. RNAcentral describes it as "partial 16S ribosomal RNA". It matches the Rfam family "Bacterial small subunit ribosomal RNA", at positions 524 to 776 of the family's 1533-position model. The record is from RNAcentral.